GUUAAGCACUCUAAGAGGAGGAGCUUACUCUAGAGAGAGAGAAGGAGGUUCGACAAGAAGGCGGGAAGAAAGCGGCGAAGAAGCGGCGGAGAACGAGCCUCGUCGGAGUUGCGGGUCUUCGCCGGAAUUCGCCAAAAUCAGUCAGUAAAAAGGCUAGAAACCUAGGCCGUUUGCUAUAAAUUAUAUCGUCGAAGAGAUAACUCAACAAGGUUCGACGAGCGGCUCUAAAGGAAAGGAGGUAGCUGAAGAAUAAGUUUAAUUUGCUGUCUAUAGCAUGUUUAGAAUAUUUUCAUUUAUAUGCGAACCUAUGUAUGUCUUGGAUAUGUUUAAGACGUUCAGUUAUAUCUUGCGAGAGAUGAUGUCCAUGUAAUUCAUUUUGUAAACGUCUUGAACAAUUUUAUGAUAAAUAAAGUAUUAUGGUUGUGAACCAUAUCAGGUUCGAUCUAUC
Molecule: long non-coding RNA, 448 nt
Organism: Diospyros lotus (date-plum)
Lineage: Eukaryota; Viridiplantae; Streptophyta; Magnoliopsida; Ericales; Ebenaceae
Exons: 3
Source: RefSeq, a predicted model, not a curated record